GGGACAGAGCUACCACCACUUUCCUUUUUGUAAGCGUGGGUUGAUAAAAAGGGGAGAGGUUGCCAAGAGAUGUGCUUGAGCAGGAGGAGACUGCCCUGCCAACAGCCAGCCUUGGGUAUCACUCUCUCAAAAGGAACAUGACAAACCUGAAGACAUACCUGAGGAGGUAACUACAGCUGAACAAGGGUAAAGAGGCGUGUGUUCCCAUGGAUGAUUCAAGCCUGUCCAGUGGUGUUGACGUAGACAAAGGCUUUGCCAUUGCCUUUGUUGUUCUUCUAUUUCUGUUCCUAAUUGUGAUGAUUUUUCGCUGUGCCAAGUUGGUGAAGAAUCCCUAUGAGGCCAGCUCCCCAACCACAGAACCAUCUCUGAGCUGAACUAUGAGAAAGCCUGAUAGACUCCCCCUCAGAGGAGGUUUGAAAUCUGCUAUACAGAUACUUAUGACCCACACUUUAUAUUAUUUAGCCUCUCUAUGUGUCAGCCUUCUCAUUCUUGCAUUCCACAAUAGGCACGUGAGGAUAUAAGAAGGAUCUCAAGAUAAAGUCAUCCUGGAUUAUCUGGGUGAGCCCUAAGUCCAAUGACAAAUGUCUUUUAUAAAAGACAGUAGAGAAGAUACAGAGAGACAGGAAAAGGCCAUGUGAAGACAGAGGCGGAGAUUGGAGUCAUGCAACCACAAACUAAAGGACCCUUGGCUGGAACCACCAGACGCUGGAGGAAGCAAGGAAAAAUUCUCCUCAGAGCCUUUGGAGGGAGCUCAGCCCUGCCAACACCUUGAUUUUAGAUUGCUAGCCUCUAGAACUGUA
This is an RNA transcript of Leptonychotes weddellii (Weddell seal), 800 nucleotides long. It is a transcript of the gene named cortexin domain containing 2, with no coding region annotated. The record is from RefSeq and is a predicted model, not a curated record. NCBI's taxonomy places the organism in Eukaryota, Metazoa, Chordata, Mammalia, Carnivora, Phocidae.